ACGGAGGAUGCAAGCGUUAUCCGGAUUUAUUAGGUUUAAAGGGUGCGUAGGCGGAGACUUAAGUCAGUGGUAAAAGGCAAUAGCUUAACUAAUGUAAGCCAUUGAUACUGGGUUUCUUGAGUUCGGUAGAGGUAGGCGGAAUGUGUUGUGUAGCGGUGAAAUGCAUAGAUAUAACACAGAACACCGAUUGCGAAGGCAGCUUACUAUGCUGUUUCUUACUCUGAUUCACGAGAUCUUGGUGAUCAAACAU
RNAcentral lists this ribosomal RNA (250 nucleotides) under uncultured prokaryote. Its description in RNAcentral is "partial 16S rRNA". It matches the Rfam family "Bacterial small subunit ribosomal RNA", at positions 525 to 775 of the family's 1533-position model. The record is from RNAcentral.